AUACGGAGGAUCCGAGCGUUAUCCGGAUUUAUUGGGUUUAAAGGGAGCGUAGGCGGACGCUUAAGUCAGUUGUGAAAGUUUGCAGCUCAACCGUAAAAUUGCAGUUGAUACCGGGUGUCUUGAGUACAGUAGAGGCAGGCGGAAUUUGUGGGGGAGCGGGGAAAUGCUUAGAUAUCACGAAGAACUCCGAUUGCGAAGGCAGCCUGCUGGACUGUAACUGACGCUGAUGCUCGAAAGUGUGGGUAUCAAACAGGAUUAGAUACCCUGGUAGUCCACACAGUAAACGAUGAAUACUCGCUGUUUGCGAUAUACAGUAAGCGGCCAAGCGAAAGCGUUAAGUAUUCCACCUGGGGAGUACGCCGGCAACGGUGAAACUCAAAUGAAUUGACGGG
RNAcentral lists this ribosomal RNA (392 nucleotides) under uncultured bacterium. RNAcentral's name for it is "partial 16S ribosomal RNA". It matches the Rfam family "Bacterial small subunit ribosomal RNA", at positions 523 to 917 of the family's 1533-position model. The record is from RNAcentral.